RNAcentral lists this ribosomal RNA (349 nucleotides) under uncultured bacterium. RNAcentral describes it as "bacterial SSU rRNA". It matches the Rfam family "Bacterial small subunit ribosomal RNA", at positions 8 to 350 of the family's 1533-position model. The record is from RNAcentral.
AGAGUUUGAUCAUGGCUCAGGAUGAACGCUAGCUACAGGCUUAACACAUGCAAGUCGAGGGGCAUCAGUUUGGUUUGCUUGCAAACCAAAGCUGGCGACCGGCGCACGGGUGAGUAACACGUAUCCAACCUGCCUCAUACUCGGGGAUAGCCUUUCGAAAGAAAGAUUAAUAUCCGAUAGCGUAUAUUUCCCGCAUGGGUUUUAUAUUAAAGAAUUCGGUAUGAGAUGGGGAUGCGUUCCAUUAGUUUGUUGGCGGGUAACGGCCACCAAGACUACGAUGGAUAGGGGUUCUGAGAGGAAGGUCCCCCACAUUGGAACUGAGACACGGUCCAAACUCCUACGGGAGGCA